CCCUUAGAUGUUCUGGGCCGCACGCGCGCUACACUGAUACGUUCAACGAGUCCAAAACCUUGAUUGAUAGGUCUGGGUAAUCUUUUGAAGACGUAUCGUGCUAGGGAUAGAUUAUUGCAAUUAUUAAUCUUGAACGAGGAAUUCCUAGUAAACGCAAGUCAUCAGCUUGCAUUGAUUACGUCCCUGCCCUUUGUACACACCGCCCGUCGCUCCUACCGAUUGAGUGGUCCGGUGAGGCUUUGGGAUCUGAGCGGAAAGAGCGUUUCGCUGUUUCUGCUCGGAAAACUCAGUCGAACCUUAUCAUUUAGAGGAAGGAGAAGUCGUAACA
RNAcentral lists this ribosomal RNA (328 nucleotides) under uncultured eukaryote. RNAcentral's name for it is "partial 18S ribosomal RNA". It matches the Rfam family "Eukaryotic small subunit ribosomal RNA", at positions 1470 to 1796 of the family's 1831-position model. The record is from RNAcentral.